Long non-coding RNA from Aedes aegypti (yellow fever mosquito), 913 nucleotides. RefSeq lists it as uncharacterized. The transcript is spliced from 2 exons. NCBI's taxonomy places the organism in Eukaryota, Metazoa, Arthropoda, Insecta, Diptera, Culicidae. The record is from RefSeq and is a predicted model, not a curated record.
CAUCAUCUUGUGAUGUGGCCUUUUGAAAAUCAUCCAAAAUUGAUGAUGAAAUAAGAAAAUUGAACUGUAGAAGAGUGUUAAGUGGUGAAGUAAGGUACAAGGAAAUCUCUACAGCAGAAAAAAGAUUCGGGCGGUCGAUUAAAUAGUUGAUUUAUUAACUCCCUCGUCAUUCAUGAACAUAGGGUGUGCUACGCGAGUUUGUCGUCAAGAAAAUAUUGGUUCAAUAUUGCAAUUGAACGUUAUUUUUCAUGCAAUUGUAAUCAAAUCGUGUUUUGUCGAUAAUUAGUGAAGUACAGACAGGCUGACGCAGGUAUUAUAAGGAAUUCAGUUAUCGUUUAACUGUUUUUGGUGCACGAUUUCCGAUGUCCAGAAGUGAUUCCCGGAACCGUUUCCGACGAACUAUUGCUGAAAGUGAGAGGCUGGUUGCUGAACAUAAUGCGUGUCAUUCGUUGCCUGCUUGCUGUUCCUGCCAUUCCUAGCCUCCAUGUGCCACCGUCGGGGGCUUUCCAUUGGCGUUCCCAGUAUUGUCGCACCGCCACCAAACCGGAUCGCGCCAGUGAGACUCGCGACGCGCCUCAACUCGCGCGAUUUUGAAAUCAGUUUUUUUAGUGUGGCGCUGCAUUCUUACGAUUUUUAUGAACAUAGCGCACUAUUCACAUAUUUGCUGCGACGCACGGGGCCCGAGAAAACAAUAAUUAUAAAUAAAUGUUGGUCUUGAUUUCUACCGGAUACAUAAUACAUUGCUGCCGAUCCCGAUAAGUUUGAUGCUGCAGGUGUACUCACCCGAUCCAAAUUGUUUCCUAUGCUGAUGUCAUCAUUCCCUGCACCCCACGCGGUUGGGUUUUCAAGCAAUUUUUUACUAUUUUAUUUUUUAUGAAUUGAAAUAUAACAAAUAAAUGUUUGUAUCAUUCAA